This 72-nucleotide transfer RNA is filed under the name Fukomys damarensis (Damara mole-rat). It matches the Rfam family "tRNA". Rfam says of the family: Transfer RNA (tRNA) molecules are approximately 80 nucleotides in length. Their secondary structure includes four short double-helical elements and three loops (D, anti-codon, and T loops). Lineage: Eukaryota; Metazoa; Chordata; Mammalia; Rodentia; Bathyergidae. The record is from Rfam by way of RNAcentral.
GGGGAUGUAGCUCAGUGGCACAGCACCUGCCUGGCGAGCAUGAGGCCCUGAGUUCAAUUCCUGGUACCCGCC